Molecule: non-coding RNA, 27 nt
Filed under: Rattus norvegicus (Norway rat)
Lineage: Eukaryota; Metazoa; Chordata; Mammalia; Rodentia; Muridae
Source: RNAcentral
UAGGUGUGUUUUCAGUUUCAAGUGCUC